UACGGGAGGCAGCAGUGAGGAAUAUUGGUCAAUGGCCGCAGGGCUGAACCAGCCAAGUCGCGUGAGGGAUGACGGUCCUAUGGAUUGUAAACCUCUUUUGUCAGGGAGCAAAGGGCGCCACGUGUGGCGUUUUGCGAGUACCUGAAGAAAAAGCAUCGGCUAACUCCGUGCCAGCAGCCGCGGUAAUACGGAGGAUGCGAGCGUUAUCCGGAUUUAUUGGGUUUAAAGGGUGCGCAGGCGGAAUGUCAAGUCAGCGGUAAAAUUUCGGGGCUCAACCCCGUCGUGCCGUUGAAACUGGCGUUCUUGAGUGAGCGAGAAGUAUGCGGAAUGCGUGGUGUAGCGGUGAAAUGCAUAGAUAUCACGCAGAACUCCGAUUGCGAAGGCAGCAUACCGGCGCUCAACUGACGCUCAUGCACGAAAGCGUGGGUAUCGAACAGGAUUAGAUACCCUGGUAGUCCACGCAGUAAACGAUGAAUACUAACUGUCCGGGC
This 491-nucleotide ribosomal RNA is filed under the name uncultured bacterium. RNAcentral's name for it is "bacterial SSU rRNA". It matches the Rfam family "Bacterial small subunit ribosomal RNA", at positions 340 to 829 of the family's 1533-position model. The record is from RNAcentral.